GUCUACUUGAAGCUAUAAGUAGUCUGGCCUGCUCACUGAUAAAAUUAUUUAAGAGCCGCGGUAUAUUGACCGUGCAAAGGUAGCAUAAUCAUUAGAGGUUUAAUUGGAAUCUGGUAUGAAUGGUCGGACAAAGGAAAAACUGUCUUUAUAAUAAAAAUUGAAAUUUACAUUUAAGUGAAAAGGCUUAAAUAGGCCAGGGGGACGAUAAGACCCUAUAAAGCUUUAUAAAUAAUUUAAAUUUAGUUAAUUUAAAUUAUAAAAGCUAAGUUUGGUUGUUUUAUUUUGUUGGGGUGAUGUGAGCAUAAUUAAAAUUAACUGCUUAAAAAAAAUUCUGUAUAAAAGAAUUAUAGUAAUAUGAUCCUUUUUAAAGAUUAAAAGACUAAGUUACUUUAGGGGUAACAGCGUUAUUUCUUUUGAGAGUUCAUAUCGAAAAAGAAGAUUGCGACCUCGAUAUUGAAUUAGAGUAUCUAUAUAAUGCAGCCGUUAUAAAAGAGGGUCUGUUCGACCUUUAAAUUUUUACAUGAUUUGAGUUCAGACCGGCGUGAG
RNAcentral lists this ribosomal RNA (546 nucleotides) under Leptodius exaratus. RNAcentral describes it as "partial 16S ribosomal RNA". It matches the Rfam family "Bacterial large subunit ribosomal RNA", at positions 1832 to 2625 of the family's 2925-position model. Lineage: Eukaryota; Metazoa; Arthropoda; Malacostraca; Decapoda; Xanthidae. The record is from RNAcentral.